UCUCUUUAUCUUCCCUCUCUCUAAUAACCCAACAUCUCGCAUUCAUUCCUUGGGCUUUUAAGGCACCAAAAUACAACCGAAAACGUAACCAAAACAACAAUCAGCCGACAGUGGGCAUCCAAAAAAGCCAACAAGAUCGAUAGACAAGCAAACAACUGCAGGCAACAUGGUCGGAUGCCAUGGUAAAAAAGACAUAUAAGAAUUGCGCUGUGUACGGCCGAAACUCACCGGCAACAUCAACAAAACAACCAUCUCGCUCUGUUCCUCUCUCUGGAAACUUAUAGGUUACAGUGAAAAGUGAAAGAGGAUUUAAGGAUGAAAACCUCGAAGAUCGAGUUCACGUUCGCGAAGAGCGUUGAAGAAGUGAGGGCUUUUCCGUAUCAAAUCGGCUGAAAGUCUCACCAUUUUCAUUUUGAGAAGGAAUUUGGGAAAAUUUGGGUUUGUUAUGGCGGAGAUCUGAGAUAUAGUUAGGGCAAAUUUUGAGAGGGAGUUCAAAAUUUUGGGAGGGAAUUAAUAAUUAGGGGAAAAUUUGAGAGGGAUUUGAAUAAGGAUGGAAAUGGAUCGGGUUCGGGUUGGGUAUUAGUAAUCCCAUAUCCAUACCCGCUAGUAAAAAUGUGUCUCAUACCCGACGCAAUACCCGUCGGGUAUUUGUCGGGUAAUUACCCGUCGGAUAUCGGGUAUACACGUGGAUAUCGGGUAUACCCAUUAAUUUGUUAAAAGAUAUAUGUUGGGGUUUCUAAAAUACAUUUCUUUUACUAUUACAAUUAUUAUGUAUUUUAUUUAUACAACAACAAUUAUAAAUUAAAAAAUUACAUUACAGAAUAUAAUUUUAUCAUAAAUUAAUAACUUUAUAGUACUUAUACACUAUAUGUAUAUACUUUACAACAUACAACAUAAAAAUAAUAUUAUCAAAUACGUAUACUAAAAGAAAAUUUAUUUUUUCACAUUAUGAACAUACAAAAAUAAAAAUACUAAUAGACAACGGUUAAUGGAAAAUAAAAAUACAAAUUAAAAGAUCCGGGUAUAUAGUUCGACUAAACGGGUAUAUGGUUUCGGGUAAUCUGGUCGGGUAUCACCUAAUCCCAUACCCUACCCAUACCCAUGAAAAAUUUUAAAUCUAAUCCCAUACUCGGCCCAAUACCCGUCGGGUAUCAGGUUAACUCGUCCUAUUUGUGUCGGGUUUCGAGUAUAUCCGUCGGGCUCGAGUAUUUUUGACAUCCCUAGAUUUGAAAUUGUUAGCUGGAAAAUUUGGUAGUUUAGUGGAGAAAAAACAAAGGGUUCCGGGUGGGAUACCUAAUACGCCCAGAAAGAUGUCUUUUUGGGCCCUCCUCUAAAACGCCUAGAAAUAUACACUUUUUGGGCGUUAUUCUUUUAAAAUUGGGUGGUUCUUGAUUUCCUAUAAUUACACAAAUAGAUUUUGAGCGCUUUUGGGUCCUAGAUGCCAAAAAUAAGUUUUCUAAGCGCCCAGAAAAAUAGAUAUUCUAGUAGUGGCUGUUCAGAAGAAGCGACGCAAAUUGUUUAUAUAGAGUAAUAUAAAAUAUAAAUUUUGGUGAAACAUGAUUGAAAAAAUAAUAUUGGAGGGAGAUGUAGGAGGGAAAAUAUUUCAAGACACAUUUUAUUAAAGUGUUUUAAGAAGGUUAAGAGAAGAUUUUAGAAUUUAGAAGCACUUAGGAAAUAGUGGCAUAUGUAAAGUACCAUUAAAAGUUAUCAAACAUUUUAUUUUAGUGGCAUAUGGAAAGUAUCAUUAAAAAUCUAAAUUAGUGGCAUAAGGUCUAAAUGCCACUAAUAACGUGUGCUAAGCUAAGGUGGCACACGUAAAGUGCCACUAAAAUCUAAAUAAAUGGUACAAAAGCUAAAUGCCACUAAAAGUGUGUGCCACUAAAUGGACUUUUUUUUGUAGUGAUAGGCCACAAACACGUGUCAAACUAAAAAAGCAAAUUAUCCAAACGCCGUUAAGUCAUCGUUAAGUUACUAUUCACAACAUUUAUGCAUUAAUAGAUUGUAAUGUAAUGUAAUGUAAUGUGAUUGUAAUGUAAUGUAAUUGUAAUGUAAUAUGAAAAAAAGUUAGUAUUUACAUUUUACCAUCUUA
This 2089-nucleotide long non-coding RNA is filed under the name Helianthus annuus (common sunflower). RNAcentral describes it as "hypothetical non coding rna". Lineage: Eukaryota; Viridiplantae; Streptophyta; Magnoliopsida; Asterales; Asteraceae. The record is from RNAcentral.